Molecule: ribosomal RNA, 494 nt
Filed under: uncultured bacterium
Lineage: Bacteria
Description: partial 16S ribosomal RNA
Rfam family: Bacterial small subunit ribosomal RNA
Source: RNAcentral
GACGAACGCUGGCGGCGUGCUUAACACAUGCAAGUCGAACGGAAAGGCCUGCUUUCCCUUGUGGAUUGCGGGUACUCGAGUGGCGAACGGGUGAGUAACACGUGAGUGAUCUGCCCCCAACUUGGGUAUAAGCCUGGGAAACUGGGUCUAAUUCCCGAUAGGACUGCAGGGUGGUGCCUGUGGUGGAAAACGAUUUUCUAGUGGUUGGGGAUGAGCUCGCGGCCUAUCAGCUUGUUGGUGGGGUAAUGGCCUACCAAGGCGGGGACGGGUAGCCGGCCUGGGAGGGUGGACGGUGACAUUGGGAAUGGGAGACGGCCCAGACGCCUGCGGGGGGCAGGAGUGGGGAAGAUUGCACAGUGGGCGGAAGCCUGAGGCAGCGACGCCGCGUGGGGGAUGACGGCCUUCGGGUUGUAAACUCCUUUCGACCGCGAGGAAGCCACCUGGUUGGAAGGGUGGUGACGGUAGUGGUAGAAGAAGCACCGGCUAACUACGUG